GAUGAACGCUGGCGGCGUGCCUAAUACAUGCAAGUCGAACGCAUAGCGAAAGGUGCUUGCACCUUUCAAGUGAGUGGCGAACGGGUGAGUAACACGUGGACAACCUGCCUCAAGGCUGGGGAUAACAUUUGGAAACAGAUGCUAAUACCGAAUAAAACUUAGUGUCGCAUGACACAAAGUUAAAAGGCGCUUCGGCGUCACCUAGAGAUGGAUCCGCGGUGCAUUAGUUAGUUGGUGGGGUAAAGGCCUACCAAGACAAUGAUGCAUAGCCGAGUUGAGAGACUGAUCGGCCACAUUGGGACUGAGACACGGCCCAAACUCCUACGGGAGGCUGCAGUAGGGAACCUUCCACAAUGGGCGAAAGCCUGAUGGAGCAACGCCGCGUGUGUGAUGAAGGCUUUCGGGUCGUAAAGCACUGUUGUAUGGGAAGAACAGCUAGAAUAGGAAAUGAUUUUAGUUUGACGGUACCAUACCAGAAAGGGACGGCUAAAUACGUG
This 497-nucleotide ribosomal RNA is filed under the name uncultured bacterium. RNAcentral's name for it is "partial 16S ribosomal RNA". It matches the Rfam family "Bacterial small subunit ribosomal RNA", at positions 28 to 507 of the family's 1533-position model. The record is from RNAcentral.